Molecule: ribosomal RNA, 253 nt
Filed under: uncultured bacterium
Lineage: Bacteria
Description: partial 16S ribosomal RNA
Rfam family: Bacterial small subunit ribosomal RNA
Source: RNAcentral
UCCGUAGGGUGCAAGCGUUAAUCGGAAUUACUGGGCGUAAAGCGUGCGCAGGCGGUUAUGUAAGGCAGAUGUGAAAUGCCCGGGCUUAACCUGGGAACUGCAUUUGUGACUGCAUGGCUAGAGUUUGGCAGAGGGGGGUAGAAUUCCACGUGUAGCAGUGAAAUGCGUAGAUAUGUGGAGGAACACCGAUGGCGAAGGCAGCCCCCUGGGUCAAGACUGACGCUCAUGCACGAAAGCGUGGGGAGCAAACAGG